Molecule: long non-coding RNA, 209 nt
Filed under: Elaeis guineensis (African oil palm)
Lineage: Eukaryota; Viridiplantae; Streptophyta; Magnoliopsida; Arecales; Arecaceae
Description: long non-coding RNA (EGUI_LNC059652)
Source: RNAcentral
UAACCAAUUCUGAUCAACUGACCUAUUGGUGUUUAAGAUAAGUUAAUGAGAUGUGAUUAUUUAAUUGAUUCUGUUAGCCGACCUGAUUAAUUUAUUGGUGUCUUAGGAAGGCAAUGGGGGGACCCCCAUCGAUCUCCACGUACCUGGCUAAUUUGGAAGAUUGGGUCUUGAAUUAGGUUGUUUAGUAAUCUGGUUUAGCCCAUGCCAGU